UGGGGAAUAUUGCACAAUGGCGGGAACUCUGAUGCAGCGACGCCGCGUGAGUGAUGAAGGAAUUCGUUUCGUAAAACUCUGUUCUAUGGGAAGAAAAGGACUGUACCAUAGGAGAAAGCUCCGGCUAAAUACGUGCCAGCAGCCGCGGUAAUACGUAUGGAGCGAGCGUUGUCCGGAAUUAUUGGGCGUAAAGGGUGCGCAGGCGGCUUUACAAGUUGGAUGUGAAAUAUUGUGGCUCAACCACAAACGUGCAUCCAAAACUGCAAAGCUUGAGUUAAGGAGAGGUAAGUGGAAUUCCGGGUGUAGCGGUGGAAUGCGUAGAUAUCAGGAGGAAUACCGGUGGCGAAGGCGACUUACUGGACUUAAACUGACGCUCAGGCACGAAAGCGUGGGGAGCAAACAGG
This 404-nucleotide ribosomal RNA is filed under the name Fusobacteriota bacterium. Its description in RNAcentral is "Fusobacteria bacterium partial 16S ribosomal RNA". It matches the Rfam family "Bacterial small subunit ribosomal RNA", at positions 355 to 776 of the family's 1533-position model. Lineage: Bacteria; Fusobacteriati; Fusobacteriota. The record is from RNAcentral.